This 72-nucleotide transfer RNA is filed under the name Ovis aries (sheep). It matches the Rfam family "tRNA". From Rfam's summary of the family: Transfer RNA (tRNA) molecules are approximately 80 nucleotides in length. Their secondary structure includes four short double-helical elements and three loops (D, anti-codon, and T loops). Lineage: Eukaryota; Metazoa; Chordata; Mammalia; Artiodactyla; Bovidae. The record is from Rfam by way of RNAcentral.
UCCCUCAUAGCUCAGUCGGUAAAGCCUCUGCCUGCAAUGCAGGAGACCCGAGUUCGACUCUUGGGUUGGGAA